CCUAAAACGUUGCUUCGGCGGGAACAGACGGCCCUGUAACAACGGGCCGCCCCCGCCAGAGGACCCCUAACUCUGUUUUUAUAAUGUUUUUCUGAGUAAACAAGCAAAUAAAUUAAAACUUUCAACAACGGAUCUCUUGGCUCUGGCAUCGAUGAAGAACGCAGCGAAAUGCGAUAAGUAAUGUGAAUUGCAGAAUUCAGUGAAUCAUCGAAUCUUUGAACGCACAUUGCGCCCGCCAGUAUUCUGGCGGGCAUGCCUGUUCGAGCGUCAUUACAACCCUCAGGCCCCCGGGCCUGGCGUUGGGGAUCGGCGGAAGCCCCCUGUGGGCACACGCCGUCCCUCAAAUACAGUGGCGGUCCCGCCGCAGCUUCCAUUGCGUAGUAGCUAACACCUCGCAACUGGAGAGCGGCGCGGCCAUGCCGUAAAACACCCAACUUCUGAAUGUUGACCUCGAAUCAGGUAGGAAUACCCGCUGAACUUAAGCAUAUCAAA
Molecule: ribosomal RNA, 492 nt
Filed under: Fusarium sp. ca_besc_241b
Lineage: Eukaryota; Fungi; Ascomycota; Sordariomycetes; Hypocreales; Nectriaceae
Description: eukaryotic LSU rRNA
Rfam family: 5.8S ribosomal RNA (bases 117-270)
Source: RNAcentral